Molecule: ribosomal RNA, 253 nt
Filed under: uncultured bacterium
Lineage: Bacteria
Description: partial 16S ribosomal RNA
Rfam family: Bacterial small subunit ribosomal RNA
Source: RNAcentral
UACGUAGGUGGCAAGCGUUAUCCGGAUUUACUGGGUGUGAAGGGCGUGUAGGCGGGAAAGCAAGUCAGAUGUGAAAACCAUGGGCUCAACCUGUGGCCUGCAUUUGAAACUGUUUUUCUUGAGUACUGGAGAGGCAGACGGAAUUCCUAGUGUAGCGGUGAAAUGCGUAGAUAUUAGGAGGAACACCAGUGGCGAAGGCGGCUUACUGGACGGCAACUGACGCUGAGGCUCGAAAGCGUGGGGAGCAAACAGG